This 89-nucleotide non-coding RNA is filed under the name Pseudomonas poae. Lineage: Bacteria; Pseudomonadati; Pseudomonadota; Gammaproteobacteria; Pseudomonadales; Pseudomonadaceae. The record is from RNAcentral.
UGUGGGAGGGGGCUUGCCCCCGAUGACGGUGUAACAGUCACUGAUGUAUUGACUGACACACUGCUAUCGGGGGCAAGCCCCCUCCCACA